CCGUACUGCGAGGGGAGGCGGAGAGAUGGGGCAAUUGACUAUUGCUAACAAGUUAGCCUUGAUCGAGGAGUAAUCAAUUAUCUGCAACGGCACUUCUCUAUUUCUCUCUCCUUUCUCCCUUUCUCCUCUCUUCUUUCUCUCUGUUCUCUCUCCUCCUGUUCUCUCUCUCCCUCUCUCUCUCUCUCUUCUCUUCUCUGCUCCCCCCGUCUCUCUCCUUCUCUCCCUCUCUCUCGCCCUCUCUUUCACUCUCUGUCUGUCCAAUGCAGGCGGCUCUAAGUUGGGAAGCUCAUUAAUUAGCGGGCCGGGGGUAGGAGGAGCCGGCUGGAAUUAGCCUGCCUAAUGCGCCUGUCAGUCCGGGCGCUGCGCCGCGCUCGGCCCGAGCUGUUUGUAAAUUACAUUAGCUGCGCCUUUAUUGCACCCGAACCUCGGGCGACUCAAAAGCCGCCGCCCCCACCCCAAACUGCGAGCCUCGCUCCCGGCACACCCGCCUCCCGCCGGCCUGGCUGCGCUGGUAGCGCUGGCCCGGAGGUCUCAGGCUCUCCGACCCGGGAUUUGGCGCCCGAGAAGGGCGGCGUGAGCCCAGCCGGAGAGGGACGCGGCCGCCGCGCGGGCCAGGAUUGAGCCCCCAUCAUGUUUUGGGCCCAGAAGCAGAGAGGAAGAACAGACAGAAGAAGGAGGGUGAUGGGCAGGCAGGAGUGGUAGGAGACAGACACCUUCCCCCCAGUAGCCCAGGGGACUGGGAAGAGGCGAAAGGAUAACUGGGAGGAGUCUGUUUCUGUCCCAAUGGAGGUGGCAUUUCAGUCUAGCCUUAAAAAACCGGGAGGCUUUGGGUAGGUGCGGAAACCAGGACCACUUUCCAGGCAAGAGUAACAGCCAAGCUGGAGGCCAGAAGUGGCAGUCCAGAAGGGGAGCCAGAGUGCCCCUAUUAUUUCCUCCCUCUGUGGCCUGAGCAGCAAGCUGCUAGGGUAGGGGUGAAGUCCUUGCUCCCUUGUGCACCCCCAUUAGGUCUGCAGCCUGGGGCAGGGGCUCCCGGGCUCCUGGGAUGGCGGUUGGAGGCUGCAAGGGGGUGGGGGCAGUUGGAGAGAGGCUGAAAGCCCUACCCUUGCUGCUACCGGACCUACCCUGGGGCUUCCAUUCUCCUCGCUAGCCCCAGAAGCUCCGACAGUUGAUCCUCUCUCUUACUAACCUAGGUGGCCCAGGAACUCUUGGGUCUGAGCAAAGCGGCUAGUGCUGGUCAGUGCCGACCUUUCCACGAAAGUCUCACUGCCUGCGGCCCACCAGGCUGCAGGCCAGCAGCGGGGCCUGGGCGAGGGCAAGGGGGCUAGGGGAAGAAAGGGAAGCCACGAAAGACAGGGAGGCCCAGGAGUGGGCCGCGGCUGCUAGGCGGCCCAGGAAAGGCCUGAGUCAGGCUUCUCGUAAUAAACUGAACGUGAAUAAUUCAGCAGCCUUGCGGGGGCUCAUUGCAUUAGUGCCGCUGCCAGCUCAGUCCUUCGCCUUCCCGCGGGGGAGGGGUGGGGGAGGUCACUAACGCGCUGGACGCGGGGAGCCAGGUAAAGACCCCCUGCCUGCUCGCAUCCUGGAUUCGGCCGGCGGGGGCCAAGUCCCAGAAGACUCUUGGGUCCCCGAUCUCCUCCUUCCGCCGAAGGUCAGAGGGCCGCCUGCCGGGCAGCGCUGUUCCAGCUAAGCCGCUCUCAAGACCCUGGGCAAGAGAACCCCCGCGGCAGAACCAAGGCCAGAACGGGGGGCGUGGGGGCAGCCUACGGAGAGCCGAGCGGCUGCGGUGCCCAGCGGCACGGAAGCACGUGGGCGGCCUGGCUCGGAGCUGGCGGAGAAGGCUGGCUCGGUCCCCCACAAGCUCUCUGCAGGAGCCACCCUACCCCUCCGUGCUGAACCUCGGACCUAGAGCCGCACACUGGCCCCGCCGGCCCGCCUGGAGCCCGGGGCAGCGCGGGCAAGGCCCCCAGCCUGGUCUUCCCUGGUGUUGAGGCAGCCAGACUAGAAGCCCUGGUGGGGGCGGAAGAAGGAAUUCGGUUUCCCCCUGGCCCACCCACCGAUCUUCUUCCGCCGCCGGCCGCAGAGGCUGCCUCCUCCUCUUCCCUGGUCGCUAGCCUUCAGCUGAAACGCUGGGUUCACGGCCAAAUUCCCGAAGCCUUCUGCAGCAGGACCCCCCUGAGUGUCUCACCUGCAGAGGCGGGUGAGAGGGGCUGAUGGCCCCGCGCUUCAGACAAUUCCACUCCAGGCCCGCUGUGUGAUCUUGGAAGGUUUCACAGGAACGCUCUCUUUUGGGAUAGAAGGGGAAACCGUGCUUGAAUGCUGAAGCUUGGAAAACAUGACUUCAGAGUUUGAACAGACUCUGGUUGAACCCGUGACCUCGGAGGCCCUUCCAAGGCUGCAGAAAAAUAGGGAAACUGAGGAGAAAAUUCUCUCUAAAAGGAGCCAGAAAGGGGGAGAGGAAGAGAAGAGAAAAUCUGAACGAGAACCCUAUGCUUCUUGUCAUUAUUUCUAAGAAGAUGGGGAACAAGGCAUUAACUCAACAAGGUUAUGGGGGGCCACCGUGUCCCCCAAGCACUGUGUGUGAUUAACAGUGAACCACACGGACACUAUUCCGGCUCAUGAUCUAAUGGACUCCACAGAAGACGGGCCUUCCGGACACAACUGAUAACUCCGGGAAAUGGUCCCUACCAUUGUCCCCACUUAACCGGAAGGAGCCAAGGCACUGAAAGGACCCAGGUCAUACAGCUGGACGGGGUGGAAUGGGGAGACACCUUCCAGAGAAGUCUUCUGCAAAGCGUGGAUGAUCCAUUGCAAAUGCUUAGAUAAGGGCCACCGCCAAUAUCUCUAUGCCCUGGCCAUCUUUGGCCUGGAGUCUCAGAGGCAAGUUGGGGGAAGCUGGCCACAGCCGGGAGGCAGAGUAGCCAGCUCCCAGUCCACCUCUUUGGGAUCCCAGGGCUGGAAAGAGGCAGAAAGUCUGUCAGGGUGGAGAGAAAAUCUCUCUUCUCUUACAUCCAAACCUCUGGAGAUAACCCCAGAUCUCAGCCCCUCCUGUGAAGAGCAGAGCCUUCCCCAGAGUGACCCAGCUUUGAAGCCGCCAGUGGUUAGUGGUGCAUCAUUGGAUGGUGUUUUGGGGAUUCCCCCCAUCCCGGCCAUCUUCAACCAUUUCUUUCAGCCUGUCCUCAUGCCUUGCCCUCCUUUCUCCCAGGCCUCCUUCCCAGAAGCUGACCUGGAGCUGGAUUUCCAAAUAAACAGUAACUAAUUGGAUUAGAAGCUGA
Molecule: long non-coding RNA, 3269 nt
Organism: Lutra lutra (Eurasian river otter)
Lineage: Eukaryota; Metazoa; Chordata; Mammalia; Carnivora; Mustelidae
Exons: 10
Source: RefSeq, a predicted model, not a curated record